CAUAGAGACGGAAGAAGGUUACAGAAUCGAUUAACGUUGACAAUGGCUCUGCUCCGUUCCCGACAUAUGAAGCCACUCACUCACAAACACAGACACACACUUCUAUACAUCCACGCGCACGAGGGCAGAAAGCUCGCUCUCUGCACGGCGGUGCUUCAGCGCACGGACCAGCAGCAGCAGCAUCUUGCCCCCCUCCCUCUUCUUUUUUCUUUGUCGUUGCAGCCGACGGUUUAGCAACGAAAGACGACCCUCUCCGUUGCACGUGGGUUACAAAGUCUGCCAUCGCGGCUGUGUGUGCGUGUGGGGUCUUGUUCUCUUCGCCGAAUUCGCCCGCCGCAUUGUUUGUGCUGCCUUUUUUUUUCUCCCUUCGAAAGUCACCGGCCGUGCUGGAGCGAGCGUCUCUCUUCCGCUUGGGGUGGCAGUCCCUGCAAGGUGCGGAGACGAUAGGGCUGACGCGUGUAUUAUUAUUUUUGUUGCUUGCGUCAUGUUGUCCGCUUCAUCUUCUAGCUCGGAACUGGAGACUGCCGACGACGCGUCCGUCGAACACGCCGCGCUCGCCUACCAGCGCGUGAGGCGUGAGCAUGCGCUGCAGCGCUACCUCAAGGCCCGAGAAGCGUACGAGGUCGCGUGCAUCGCACGCGAGCGUCGCCAGCUUGUCCUGCAGUCACACAACCACACGCUACGGCUGCUGGAGGGGGUCGUUGGUGAUGUGAAGGCCGUCGUCGAUGCCACUCUGAAAGAAGGGUUGUCGGUGCGAGAGUCCACAGUUACAGCUGCAGAGAUGCUGCUCGCAUCUUCUUGCUACAAGAGGGCCGAGCGCGGUCUUGUGACUUUGUUGGCGCACGAGGGACGGCAACAUGAAGCGUUACAGGCCGCUACCCCGCCGCCAACGGAGACAUCUCUUAUACCGCAGGUGUUUUCGCCCGGCUCGAGGGCUGACAAGCCAGUCGCAUCGUCGUCAGAAAAGCACAUGCUGCGUCCGCUGCUUCUCCUGUGUGAGUGGCGGCUUGACUACACGACUCUGUUGUGCCGCCAACGCUUGCCGCUGUUUUCGGAGUUGGCGCGCGCCCAGCGACUGAUUCACAACUCUAGUGAGAGCGCCAGAGUGGCGCGUCGGCGCGCUCAUGCGCCGACGGCACCUAUUGCGCAACGGUGUCAGUUGCAAGUUGCGGAAGCCAGGGCUUCGCUUGCUAAGGCGAGAGCGUCUCAACGGUCUCUCAAAGAUCGUCUGCAUCAACUGCAUCAAAUGCUGAGCCGAAGCGCACCUGUUCACGCCGAGAGCGGUGUCUUCGUGGAUGCUGGUGUUGCCGAGGAGAUUCAAGCACAACUUCGGCGAGAGAUUGCCGUCGGCCGCGUUACGCUGCUGCGUAUUCUAUGCGAGAAUUUGAGUGGCGCGUUUGACGAGAAAGGGCGGCUGACGGCUCUCUGACGGCCCUCCUGUGGCUGCGUUGUGUGGGAACACAUAUUUGCUUUCCCUCUUGCCUGACUGCGCUGAUGGCCGUGACCACGGCCCGACCAGCGCACAGGUGUGUUUCUCUUUUGCCCCUACCCCCCCCCCCCAACUGCGCGUGGGUGCACUUCGCGGUCGCUUCGGUUUUGCAUGCGGCAUACAUGGCUGCUGCCGCCAGCUGCCUCUACUCCCGUGUUCUACUGAAAUG
This 1658-nucleotide unclassified non-coding RNA is filed under the name Leishmania donovani. RNAcentral's name for it is "gene:LdHU3.27.0820(CDS-product:hypothetical_prote in_conserved)". Lineage: Eukaryota; Euglenozoa; Kinetoplastea; Trypanosomatida; Trypanosomatidae. The record is from RNAcentral.